RNAcentral lists this ribosomal RNA (526 nucleotides) under Bombus oberti. Its description in RNAcentral is "partial 16S ribosomal RNA". It matches the Rfam family "Bacterial large subunit ribosomal RNA", at positions 1888 to 2626 of the family's 2925-position model. Lineage: Eukaryota; Metazoa; Arthropoda; Insecta; Hymenoptera; Apidae. The record is from RNAcentral.
GGCUUAUUGAUUAUAAUUUUAGGUCAAUCUGCCCAAUGAUUUUAAAUUAAAUGGCUGCAGUAUAAUUAACUGUACAAAGGUAGCAUAAUCAAUUGUUUCUUAAUUAGAAACUGGAAUGAAAGAAUUAAUGAGAUAUAUACUGUCUCAUAUAUAUUUAAUUAAAUUAAAUUUUUAGUAAAAAUGCUGAAAUAAUUUUAUGGGACGAUAAGACCCUAUAGAAUUUUAUAUUAAUAUAUAAAUUUGAUAAAUUUUAUAUAUGAAUAUUUAAUUGGGAGGAUUAAUAAAUUAAUAUAACUUUAUUUAAAAUAUAAACUUUAAUUAAAGAAUUAUUAAUGAUCUUGUAUUAUAAAUUAUAAGAAAAAAUUACCUUAGGGAUAACAGCGUAAUAUCUUUUUAAAGGUCAAAUUGAUAAAGAUGAUUGCGACCUCGAUGUUGAAUUAAGAUAAAUUUUAAAUGGAGAAAUUUAAUAAUUAAGUCUGUUCGACUUUUAAAAUCUUACAUGAUUUGAGUUCAAAUCGACGUAAGU